UGUGUGUGCUGUUACCUUGUUUUUUUUUGGUCUUUUUAAUCCUUUUUUGUAUUUUUUUAUACUUUUUUAGUAAUUGUUUUUUACAGGGCUGAGGACCGAAAAAAAAAAAAACUUAAAUAAUAUGUAACAAUUCAAUGUCAGCAGAACUUACUCUGCACAGGCUCUAGCACGCAGUGGGCACUCGACAAACAGUCGUUGAAUGGUCAAAUGAGAAGGCAGUGUGGGUCACCUCCGGGCCUUGGGAGGUGAGCCGGCCAGAGACCCAGCGCCAGCGCUGGCCACAGCAUCGGCCACAGCAUCGGCCACGGAGGCCUUUCAGGGCAUCUCCACAGGGAGGCUAGCCAGGGAGAAUGUGGUUCCCCCUCCCCUGGUCCUGCAGCCCCUGGUCUGGGUGCCUGGGUCCUGCCCGCCCAAGCUUGGCCUCCGCGUCCCCACAGAGGGGUUGGAAAGCGUGACAUCUAAGGGACACCGCAACGAAGCCACGCAGGCGCCGCCUUGGGUGUCUAGCUCAGCAACUCGGCUGUGGAAAUGUUCGCGAGCAGAUGAAGCUUUGAUUUUUAAACUUAACGAAACGUGGUUCCUCCCAGCAAACUCACAUCAGUACCCGGUGCUCAGCGCCUCCCGUUUACCUUGAGAGCGCGUCUGGAGGUUCCAGCGGAGAACACGGCUCCUCUGUACCCCUGACCCAAGGACCACUGGGAGUUGGCAACCGGGAGAACCUGGCAGCCAAGAAAUAUUUUUGCAAAUUAAUAAACAUUCUAAAUGGA
This 767-nucleotide long non-coding RNA is filed under the name Ictidomys tridecemlineatus (thirteen-lined ground squirrel). RNAcentral describes it as "lncRNA (ENSSTOG00000030811.1)". Lineage: Eukaryota; Metazoa; Chordata; Mammalia; Rodentia; Sciuridae. The record is from RNAcentral.